UUAAGUUCAGCGGGUAACCCUACCUAAUCCGAGGUCAAACUAUUCUAAGAAUAAAUAGGCUUAACGGCAGGCCUCCGCCAGGACCCGAUACGAGACUAAACGUUACUACGCAUAGGGGCACCGCGGCGGGACCGCCACUUCAUUUCGGGGGCCUACGUUUUACCGUAGUGCCCCAACACCAAUCCACUAAAAGCGGCUCG
This 200-nucleotide unclassified non-coding RNA is filed under the name uncultured Sordariomycetes. Its description in RNAcentral is "sequence contains ITS2". Lineage: Eukaryota; Fungi; Ascomycota; Sordariomycetes. The record is from RNAcentral.